AUGUUCAAGAAAGAUCCUAGCUCCGUUGGGCCAGGCUUAUUCAACUGGAAUUGCAAUGUUGUGAAUAUGAUCCUUGUCUAUGGCAACCACUCCAUGUUCCUCGGGCUCAAUUAUCCGAUCAUCCAACCAAUCAUCGAUCAUAUCACCGAGAUGAUUACCGUGCUAUGCAACUUCCAUUCGCCAGGGGGACUGUGUUUACAUAUCAUACCAUGGGUUUAUGAAUCACCAUAUCCAGAGAUUCGACGACACAGCUUGUUGCUAGAUAAUCUUCAGUGUGUGAAAGGCAUCAAGCUUCCAUGCGAUCGAUGGCGUUUGCAAACCCGACAUGUCGCGAUGUGUAUAUACGUAUCAAUUAGGCUUCAAUACCAUAUAACUGGAAUUAACCAAUGCAAGUGGAAGAAGGAUUGGCCGGUGCUGCCGGCUGGCAUCAAGUUCGAUCCCACAGAUCAGGAGCUGAUCGAGCACCUUGAGGCCAAACACGGCAUAUGCUACACCCAUCCUGAGAAACUUCCAGGUAUCACACUGAGUGGCCUAAGCAAGCAUUUCUUCCAGCGCAAUUCCAGGGCGUUCAAAAGGGGCACGUGGACGCGUCGCAAGAUACAGUUGGAGUGCGGCAUGCACGCGAUGUGGCACAACACUGGCAAUACCUUGCCGGUGAUGGUCAACGGCCGGCAGACGAGCAGCAAAAAGGUUCUGGUGCUGCACACCAACAAGAACUUCGACCAACAAAGGACCAACUGGGUGAUGCACUAG
This 753-nucleotide ribosomal RNA is filed under the name Triticum aestivum (bread wheat). Its description in RNAcentral is "partial small subunit ribosomal RNA". Lineage: Eukaryota; Viridiplantae; Streptophyta; Magnoliopsida; Poales; Poaceae. The record is from RNAcentral.